CGUAGGUGGCAAGCGUUGUCCGGAAUUAUUGGGCGUAAAGCGCGCGCAGGCGGCUUCUUAAGUCUGAUGUGAAAUCUCGGGGCUCAACCCCGAGCGGCCAUUGGAAACUGGGGAGCUUGAGUGCAGAAGAGGAGAGUGGAAUUCCACGUGUAGCGGUGAAAUGCGUAGAUAUGUGGAGGAACACCAGUGGCGAAGGCGACUCUCUGGUCUGUAACUGACGCUGAGGCGCGAAAGCGUGGGGAGCAAACAGG
Molecule: ribosomal RNA, 251 nt
Filed under: uncultured Bacillus sp.
Lineage: Bacteria; Bacillati; Bacillota; Bacilli; Caryophanales; Bacillaceae
Description: partial 16S ribosomal RNA
Rfam family: Bacterial small subunit ribosomal RNA
Source: RNAcentral